RNAcentral lists this ribosomal RNA (480 nucleotides) under uncultured bacterium. Its description in RNAcentral is "partial 16S ribosomal RNA". It matches the Rfam family "Bacterial small subunit ribosomal RNA", at positions 28 to 506 of the family's 1533-position model. The record is from RNAcentral.
GAUGAACGCUAGCGGGAGGCCUAACACAUGCAAGCCGAGCGGUAGAAAGUAGCUUGCUACUUUUGAGAGCGGCGUACGGGUGCGGAACACGUGUGCAACCUGCCUUUAUCUGGGGAAUAGCCUUUCGAAAGGAAGAUUAAUGCCCCAUAACAUAUUGAUUGGCAUCAAUUAAUAUUGAAAGCUCCGGCGGAUAGAGAUGGGCACGCGCAAGAUUAGCUAGUUGGUGAGGUAACGGCUCACCAAGGCGAUGAUCUUUAGGGGGCCUGAGAGGGUGAUCCCCCACACUGGUACUGAGACACGGACCAGACUCCUACGGGAGGCAGCAGUGAGGAAUAUUGGACAAUGGGUGCAAGCCUGAUCCAGCCAUCCCGCGUGAAGGAUGACGGCCCUAUGGGUUGUAAACUUCUUUUAUACAGGGAUAAACCUACUUACGUGUAAGUAGCUGAAGGUACUGUAUGAAUAAGCACCGGCUAACUCCGU